RNAcentral lists this non-coding RNA (99 nucleotides) under Palpitomonas bilix. The record is from RNAcentral.
AGGCGGUACAAGCGUGUCGAUGGCAGGUAGCACUUGCAGAUGAUGUUGUCUUUACCUCGCCCCCCUACUUUAUUUACGCCACCGCCUUUUGGUCGCUCU